AUUGAACGCUGGCGGCAUGCCUAACACAUGCAAGUCGAACGAGUGGCGGACGGGUGAGUAACGUAUGGGGAUCUGCCCGAUAGAGGGGGUUAACUACUGGAAACGGUGGCUAAUACCGCAUACUCUCGGAUGAAGCCAUCUGGGAUUAGCUAGUAGGGGGGGUAAAGGCUCACCUAGGCGACGAUUUCUAGCUGGUCUGAGAGGAUGUUGAGCCACACUGGGACUGGGACACGUCCAAGACUCCUACGGGAGGCAGCGGUGGGAAAUAUUGCACAAUGGGCGCAAUCCGGACGCAGCCAUGCCGCGUGAAUGAAGAGGGCCUUCGGGUUGUAAAGUUCUUUCGGUAGCGAGGCGUUAACUACAGAAGAAGCACCGGCUAACUCCGUGCCAGCAGCCGCGGUAAUAC
RNAcentral lists this ribosomal RNA (406 nucleotides) under uncultured bacterium. RNAcentral describes it as "partial 16S ribosomal RNA". It matches the Rfam family "Bacterial small subunit ribosomal RNA", at positions 30 to 526 of the family's 1533-position model. The record is from RNAcentral.